RNAcentral lists this ribosomal RNA (301 nucleotides) under uncultured bacterium. RNAcentral's name for it is "partial 16S ribosomal RNA". It matches the Rfam family "Bacterial small subunit ribosomal RNA", at positions 509 to 807 of the family's 1533-position model. The record is from RNAcentral.
CAGUCGCCGCGGGAAUACAGAGGGUGCGAGCGUUAAUCGGAUUUACUGGGCGUAAAGCGUGCGUAGGCGGCUAAUUGAGUCGGAUGUGAAAUCCCCGAGCUUAACUUGGGAAUUGCAUUCGAUACUGGUUAGCUAGAGUGUGGGAGAGGAUGGUAGAAUUCCAGGUGUAGCGGUGAAAUGCGUAGAGAUCUGGAGGAAUACCGAUGGCGAAGGCAGCCAUCUGGCCUAACACUGACGCUGAGGUACGAAAGCAUGGGGAGCAAACAGGAUUAGAUACCCGAGUAGUCCCUGUCUCUUAUAC